CAGACCUCUAAUCGGAAAAGACUACCCGCUGAGUUUAAGCAUAUCACUAAGCGGAGGAGAAGAAACUAACCAGGAUUUCCCUAGU
RNAcentral lists this ribosomal RNA (85 nucleotides) under Scorpidium scorpioides. RNAcentral's name for it is "partial 25S ribosomal RNA". It matches the Rfam family "Eukaryotic large subunit ribosomal RNA", at positions 1 to 84 of the family's 3401-position model. The record is from RNAcentral. Lineage: Eukaryota; Viridiplantae; Streptophyta; Bryopsida; Hypnales; Amblystegiaceae. RNAcentral also lists the same sequence under 4 other names.